Molecule: ribosomal RNA, 482 nt
Filed under: uncultured bacterium
Lineage: Bacteria
Description: partial 16S ribosomal RNA
Rfam family: Bacterial small subunit ribosomal RNA
Source: RNAcentral
AUUGAACGCUGGCGGCAUGCUUUACACAUGCAAGUCGAACGGUAACAGGCCGCAAGGUGCUGACGAGUGGCGAACGGGUGAGUAAUGCAUCGGAACGUGCCCAGUCGUGGGGGAUAACUACUCGAAAGAGUAGCUAAUACCGCAUACGAUCUAUGGAUGAAAGCGGGGGACCGUAAGGCUUCGCGCGAUUGGUGCGGCCGAUGUUAGAUUAGGUAGUUGGUGGGGUAAAGGCUCACCAAGCCAACGAUUUGUAGCUGGUCUGAGAGGACGACCAGCCACACUGGGACUGAGACACGGCCCAGACUCCUACGGGAGGCAGCAGUGGGGAAUUUUGGACAAUGGGCGCAAGCCUGAUCCAGCAAUGCCGCGUGCAGGAAGAAGGCCUUCGGGUUGUAAACUGCUUUUGUACGGAACGAAACGGCUCUGGUUAAUACCCGGGGCUAAUGACGGUACCGUAAGAAUAAGCACCGGCUAACUACGUG